This 253-nucleotide ribosomal RNA is filed under the name uncultured bacterium. Its description in RNAcentral is "partial 16S ribosomal RNA". It matches the Rfam family "Bacterial small subunit ribosomal RNA", at positions 524 to 776 of the family's 1533-position model. The record is from RNAcentral.
UACGUAGGGUGCAAGCGUUGUCCGGAAUUAUUGGGCGUAAAGAGCUCGUAGGCGGUCUGUCGCGUCGGCUGUGAAAUCUCGGGGCUCAACCCCGAGCCUGCAGUCGAUACGGGCAGACUAGAGUGCUGUAGGGGAGACUGGAAUUCCUGGUGUAGCGGUGAAAUGCGCAGAUAUCAGGAGGAACACCGGUGGCGAAGGCGGGUCUCUGGGCAGUAACUGACGCUGAGGCGCGAAAGCGUGGGGAGCAAACAGG